This 344-nucleotide long non-coding RNA is filed under the name Citrus x clementina. RNAcentral's name for it is "Citrus clementina (C. clementina) long non-coding RNA (CCLE_LNC000800)". The record is from RNAcentral. Lineage: Eukaryota; Viridiplantae; Streptophyta; Magnoliopsida; Sapindales; Rutaceae.
AUAAGAAGUUUGAGCUGAUGCCUGAUAUUUCAAUUUAUGACAACGGUAUUAAGCCAACCAAACAAAAGGCUUUUGCCAAGAACUUCGAGCUUAUGCCUGAUCUUUCAAUUUACGACAACGGUAUUAAGCCAACCAAACAAAAGGCUUUUGCCAAGAACUUCGAGCUUAUGCCUGAUCUUUCAAUUUACGACAACGGUAUUAAGCCAACCAAACAAAAGUUCUUCGCCAAGAACUUUGAGCUCAUGCCUGAUGUUUCAAUUUAUGACAAUGAUAUUAAACCAACGAAGAGGAGUUCAUAUGCCAAGGACUUUGAGCUGAAGGCUGAUAUUUCAAUUCAUGAACCG